ACGAACGCUGGCGGCGUGCUUAACACAUGCAAGUCGAACGGUGAAGCGCCUUCCUUUUUGGUGGGUGUGGAUGAGUGGCGAACGGGUGAGUAACACGUGAGUAACCUGCCCCCUUCUUCUGGAUAACCGCAUGAAAGUGUGGCUAAUACGGGAUAUUCUGGGUCUGUCGCAUGAUGGGUCUGGGAAAGAUAUUGUUUCGGUGGGGGAAGGGCUCGCGGCCUAUCAGCUUGUUGGUGGGGUGAUGGCCUACCAAGGCGGUGACGGGUAGCCGGCCUGAGAGGGUGGAUGGUCACACUGGGACUGAGACACGGCCCAGACUCCUACGAGAGGCAGCAGUGGGGAAUAUUGCACAAUGGGCGCAAGCCUGAUGCAGCGACGCCGCGUGAGGGAUGGAGGCCUUCGGGUUGUGAACCUCUUUCGCCAGUGAAGCAGGCCUGCCUCGUUUGUGGGUGGGUUGACGGUAGCUGGAGAAGAAGCGCCGGCUAACUACGUG
RNAcentral lists this ribosomal RNA (493 nucleotides) under uncultured bacterium. RNAcentral describes it as "partial 16S ribosomal RNA". It matches the Rfam family "Bacterial small subunit ribosomal RNA", at positions 29 to 507 of the family's 1533-position model. The record is from RNAcentral.